UGUGGGUAGCGGAGAAAUUCCAAACGAACUUGGAGAUAGCUGGUUCUCUCCGAAAUAGCUUUAGGGCUAGCGUCGAUGUUAAGUCUCUUGGAGGUAGAGCACUGUUUGGGUGAGGGGUCCAUCCCGGAUUACCAAUCUCAGAUAAACUCCGAAUGCCAACGAGAUAUAAUCGGCAGUCAGACUGCGAGUGCUAAGAUCCGUAGUCGAAAGGGAAACAGCCCAGACCACCAGCUAAGGUCCCAAAAUAUAUGUUAAGUGGAAAAGGAUGUGGGGUUGCACAGACAACUAGGAUGUUAGCUUAGAAGCAGCUAUUCAUUCAAAGAGUGCGUAAUAGCUCACUAGUCGAGUGACCCUGCGCCGAAAAUGUACCGGGGCUAAAACAUAUUACCGAAGCUGUGGAUACCUUUAUAGGUAUGGUAGGAGAGCGUUCUAUGUGCGAAGAAGGUGUACCGUGAGGAGUGCUGGAGCGCAUAGAAGUGAGAAUGCCGGUAUGAGUAGCGAAAGACAGGUGAGAAUCCUGUCCACCGUAAGACUAAGGUUUCCAGGGGAAGGCUCGUCCGCCCUGGGUUAGUCGGGACCUAAGGAGAGACCGAAAGGUGUAUCCGAUGGACAACAGGUUGAUAUUCCUGUACUAGAGUAUAUAGUGAUGGAGGGACGCAGUAGGCUAACUAAACCAGACGAUUGGAAGUGUCUGGCCAAGCAGUGAGGUGUGAUAUGAGUCAAAUGCUUAUAUCUAUAACAUUGAGCUGUGAUGGGGAGCGAAGUUUAGUAGCGAAGUUAGUGAUGUCACACUGCCGAGAAAAGCUUCUAGCGUUAAUUAUACUCUACCCGUACCGCAAACCGACACAGGUAGUCGAGGCGAGUAGCCUCAGGUGAGCGAGAGAACUCUCGUUAAGGAACUCGGCAAAAUGGCCCCGUAACUUCGGGAGAAGGGGCGCUGACUUAUGGUCAGCCGCAGUGAAUAGGCCCAAGCAACUGUUUAUCAAAAACACAGCUCUCUGCUAAAUCGUAAGAUGAUGUAUAGGGGGUGACGCCUGCCCGGUGCUGGAAGGUUAAGAGGAGUGCUUAGCGUAAGCGAAGGUAUGAAUUGAAGCCCCAGUAAACGGCGGCCGUAACUAUAACGGUCCUAAGGUAGCGAAAUUCCUUGUCGGGUAAGUUCCGACCCGCACGAAAGGCGUAAUGAUUUGGGCACUGUCUCAACGAGAGACUCGGUGAAAUUUUAGUACCUGUGAAGAUGCAGGUUACCCGCGACAGGACGGAAAGACCCCAUGGAGCUUUACUGCAGUUUGAUAUUGAGUAUCUGUACCACAUGUACAGGAUAGGUAGGAGCCUAUGACCUCGGGACGCCAGUUUCGAGUGAGGCGUUGUUGGGAUACUACCCUUGUGUUAUGGCUACUCUAACCCAGAUAGGUUAUCCCUAUCGGAGACAGUGUCUGACGGGCAGUUUGACUGGGGCGGUCGCCUCCUAAAAGGUAACGGAGGCGCCCAAAGGUUCCCUCAGAAUGGUUGGAAAUCAUUCGCAGAGUGUAAAGGUAUAAGGGAGCUUGACUGCGAGAGCUACAACUCGAGCAGGGACGAAAGUCGGGCUUAGUGAUCCGGUGGUUCCGCAUGGAAGGGCCAUCGCUCAACGGAUAAAAGCUACCCUGGGGAUAACAGGCUUAUCUCCCCCAAGAGUUCACAUCGACGGGGAGGUUUGGCACCUCGAUGUCGGCUCGUCGCAUCCUGGGGCUGUAGUCGGUCCCAAGGGUUGGGCUGUUCGCCCAUUAAAGCGGCACGCGAGCUGGGUUCAGAACGUCGUGAGACAGUUCGGUCCCUAUCCGUCGCGGGCGUAGGAAAUUUGAGAGGAUCUGCUCCUAGUACGAGAGGACCAGAGUGGACUUACCGCUGGUGUACCAGUUGUUCUGCCAAGAGCAUCGCUGGGUAGCUAUGUAGGGAAGGGAUAAACGCUGAAAGCAUCUAAGUGUGAAGCCCACCUCAAGAUGAGAUUUCCCAUGAUUUU
This 1999-nucleotide ribosomal RNA is filed under the name human gut metagenome. RNAcentral's name for it is "bacterial LSU rRNA". It matches the Rfam family "Bacterial large subunit ribosomal RNA", at positions 810 to 2823 of the family's 2925-position model. The record is from RNAcentral.